CGUUCCCCAGGCCCUGCCUGCCCAGCCUGCCCCUAACUCCCCGCAGGCCCCCAGGGAACUGGAGAGGGUGGAGAGGUGCCCCCACCUCCCGUUCCAGUGUUGACUGUGUGACUUGCUUCUUAGGGUGAACCUGGCGUGAAGGGGGAAGAAGGAGAGAAAGCCGCCACUGCAGAGGGCGAGGGGGUGCAGCAGCUGAGAGAGGCCCUGAAGAUCCUGGCAGAGCGAGUCCUCAUCCUGGAGCACAUGAUUGGGAUCCACGAUCCCCUGGCCUCCCCAGAGGGAGGUUCUGGCCAGGAUGCUGCCCUGAGAGCCAACCUCAAGAUGAAGAGGGGUGGCGCCCAACCCGAUGGGGUCCUUGCUGCCCUGCUUGGGCCCGACCCUGGACAGAAGAGCGUGGACCAGGCCAGCAGCAGGAAGUGAGAGCCCACUGCUCCAGGACACCCUGUCCUGGCUAGAGACCCAGCCCCAGAGGCCUGAGCCGCCGCUGUUUCCUAAAGAUGCCCCCAGGGGAACUGGGCUCCAG
This 523-nucleotide small RNA is filed under the name Pan troglodytes (chimpanzee). RNAcentral describes it as "retained intron". The record is from RNAcentral. Lineage: Eukaryota; Metazoa; Chordata; Mammalia; Primates; Hominidae.